This 404-nucleotide ribosomal RNA is filed under the name uncultured prokaryote. RNAcentral describes it as "bacterial SSU rRNA". It matches the Rfam family "Bacterial small subunit ribosomal RNA", at positions 355 to 774 of the family's 1533-position model. The record is from RNAcentral.
UGAGGAAUCUUCCACAAUGGGCGAAAGCCUGAUGGAGCAACGCCGCGUGCAGGAUGAAGGCCUUCGGGUCGUAAACUGCUUUUAUAAGUGAAGAAUAUGACGGUAACUUAUGAAUAAGCACCGGCUAACUACGUGCCAGCAGCCGCGGUCAUACGUAGGGUGCAAGCAUUAUCCGGAGUGACUGGGCGUAAAGAGUUGCGUAGGUGGUUUAUUAAGCGAGUAGUGAAAUCUGACGGCUCAACCGUACAGGCUAUUAUUCGAACUGGUAAACUCGAGAAUGGUAGAGGUAACUGGAAUUUCUUGUGUAGGAGUGAAAUCCGUAGAUAUAAGAAGGAACACCAAUGGCGUAGGCAGGUUACUGGACCAUUUCUGACACUGAGGCACGAAAGCGUGGGGAGCGAACG